RNAcentral lists this ribosomal RNA (388 nucleotides) under Chytridiomycetes sp. RNAcentral's name for it is "partial small subunit ribosomal RNA". It matches the Rfam family "Eukaryotic small subunit ribosomal RNA", at positions 582 to 975 of the family's 1831-position model. The record is from RNAcentral. Lineage: Eukaryota; Fungi; Chytridiomycota; Chytridiomycetes.
AUUCCAGCUCCAAUAGCGUAUAUUAAAGUUGUUGCAGUUAAAAAGCUCGUAGUUGAAUUUUGGACCUGGUUGAAUGGUCCCGCCGCAAGGUGGGUACUGUUUGAUUGGGUCUUUCUUUGCGGGGAAUUAGUGUGCUCUUAAUUGGGUGCAUUAAGGAUCCGUAACUUUUACUUUGAAAAAAUUAGAGUGUUUAAAGCAGGCUUAGGCCUGAAUACAUUAGCAUGGAAUAAUAGAAUAGGACCUGUGUUCUAUUUUGUUGGUUUCUAGGACGUAGGUAAUGAUUAAUAGGGACAGUUGGGGGCAUUAGUAUUUAAGUGUCAGAGGUGAAAUUCUUGGAUUGCUUAAAGACUAACUUCUACGAAAGCAUUUGCCAAGGAUGUUUUCAUUA